RNAcentral lists this transfer RNA (73 nucleotides) under Ailuropoda melanoleuca (giant panda). It matches the Rfam family "tRNA". Rfam says of the family: Transfer RNA (tRNA) molecules are approximately 80 nucleotides in length. Lineage: Eukaryota; Metazoa; Chordata; Mammalia; Carnivora; Ursidae. The record is from Rfam by way of RNAcentral.
GCCUGGCUGGCUCAGUUGGUAGAGCAUGUGAUUCUUGAUCUCAGGGUUGUGAGUUUGAGCCCCACAUUGGGUA